CGUGUAGGCGGUUCUCCAAGUCUUUGGUGAAAUCUCCUGGCUUAACUGGGAGGAUGCCAGAGAAACUAGAGAACUUGAGGGCAGCAUAGGGGAGUGGAAUUCCCGGUGUAGUGGUGAUAUGCGUAGAUAUCGGGAGGAACACCAGUGGCGAAAGCGGCUCUCUGGGCUGCACCUGACGCUGAGGCGCAAAAGCGUGGGGAGCAAACAGGAUUAGAUACCCUGGUAGUCCACGCUGUAAACGAUGGAUACUGGGUAUGGGGGGUAUCGACCCCCUCCGUGCCGAAGCUAACGCUUUAAGUAUCCCGCCUGGGGACUACGGCCGCAAGGCUAAA
Molecule: ribosomal RNA, 332 nt
Filed under: uncultured bacterium
Lineage: Bacteria
Description: bacterial SSU rRNA
Rfam family: Bacterial small subunit ribosomal RNA
Source: RNAcentral